This 253-nucleotide ribosomal RNA is filed under the name uncultured bacterium. Its description in RNAcentral is "partial 16S ribosomal RNA". It matches the Rfam family "Bacterial small subunit ribosomal RNA", at positions 524 to 776 of the family's 1533-position model. The record is from RNAcentral.
UACGUAGGGUGCGAGCGUUGUCCGGAAUUAUUGGGCGUAAAGAGCUCGUAGGCGGUGUGUCGCGUCGGUCGUGAAAACUUGGGGCUUAACCCUGAGCUUGCGGUCGAUACGGGCGGGCUGGGAUUCGGUAGGGGAGACUGGAAUUCCUGGUGUAGCGGUGAAAUGCGCAGAUAUCAGGAGGAACACCGGUGGCGAAGGCGGGUCUCUGGGCCGAUAUCGACGCUGAGGAGCGAAAGCGUGGGGAGCGAACAGG